RNAcentral lists this ribosomal RNA (464 nucleotides) under Vreelandella stevensii. RNAcentral describes it as "partial 16S ribosomal RNA". It matches the Rfam family "Bacterial small subunit ribosomal RNA", at positions 339 to 795 of the family's 1533-position model. Lineage: Bacteria; Pseudomonadati; Pseudomonadota; Gammaproteobacteria; Oceanospirillales; Halomonadaceae. The record is from RNAcentral.
CUACGGUGGGCAGCAGUGGGGAAUAUUGGACAAUGGGCGAAAGCCUGAUCCAGCCAUGCCGCGUGUGUGAAGAAGGCCUUCGGGUUGUAAAGCACUUUCAGUGGGGAAGAAAGCCUUGGGGCUAAUACCCUCGAGGAAGGACAUCACCCACAGAAGAAGCACCGGCUAACUCCGUGCCAGCAGCCGCGGUAAUACGGAGGGUGCGAGCGUUAAUCGGAAUUACUGGGCGUAAAGCGCGCGUAGGCGGUCUGAUAAGCCGGUUGUGAAAGCCCCGGGCUCAACCUGGGAACGGCAUCCGGAACUGUCAGGCUAGAGUGCAGGAGAGGAAGGUAGAAUUCCCGGUGUAGCGGUGAAAUGCGUAGAGAUCGGGAGGAAUACCAGUGGCGAAGGCGGCCUUCUGGACUGACACUGACGCUGAGGUGCGAAAGCGUGGGUAGCAAACAGGAUUAGAUACCCCAGUAGUC